Molecule: long non-coding RNA, 517 nt
Organism: Suricata suricatta (meerkat)
Lineage: Eukaryota; Metazoa; Chordata; Mammalia; Carnivora; Herpestidae
Exons: 2
Source: RefSeq, a predicted model, not a curated record
CACCCCCUACUCUUUUGUGCAACAAACUGACAAGAGGAAAGAGGCAAGGGGAAGGUCACCCAAGCACAGCUAAAGGGAGGUGAUACCAAAUCCUGCUUCCCAGACCCAGGAAGGAAACUGAGAAUCACAGGUGCAUGAGGCGACGCAUCCAACUUGUGGCAAAACUGGCUGGAAUCGAGUCCAGGUGUUUUGAUUCUGCCUCCAAUUCUUUUCUACUUCAUCAGGCCAAGUCUGGCCAAGGGGGACACCCACUGGAGGUCACAGGGGGUUAUGAUGAGCCAGGAGGACAAAGGCACAAGCCAAGGUGGGCAGAGGCCAGGACCCAGGAGAACGGGAAUUCCCACUGGUCUUUCCUUUGCCAAAGAAGCACACAGAGUUCACUGAGCUGGCUGGUUCAGAAACCUCCUGCAUUUCAGGGUAAAGCUGCCUUUAGCCACCACGGAGCCUGCCUGUCGUCUCAGUUUCCUGCCAUCAACAAUUAAGUGGGCAUUGUUAAUUAAAUUAUCAUUGCACUUAA